UGCCAGCCGCCGCGGUAACACGGGGGGUGCAAGCGUUAAUCGGAAUUACUGGGCGUAAAGCGCGCGUAGGUGGUUAGUUAAGCGAGAUGUGAAAGCCCUGGGCUCAACCUGGGAACUGCAUUUCGAACUGGCUGGCUAGAGUAUGGUAGAGGUGAGUGGAAUUUCCUGUGUAGCGGUGAAAUGCGUAGAUAUAGGAAGGAACAUCAGUGGCGAAGGCGACUCACUGGACUAAUACUGACACUGAGGUGCGAAAGCGUGGGUAGCGAACAGGAUUAGAUA
RNAcentral lists this ribosomal RNA (279 nucleotides) under uncultured bacterium. RNAcentral's name for it is "partial 16S ribosomal RNA". It matches the Rfam family "Bacterial small subunit ribosomal RNA", at positions 506 to 784 of the family's 1533-position model. The record is from RNAcentral.